GAUGAACGCUGGCGGCGUGCCUAAUACAUGCAAGUCGAGCGAACAGAUAAGGAGCUUGCUCCUUUGACGUUAGCGGCGGACGGGUGAGUAACACGUGGGUAACCUACCUAUAAGACUGGAAUAACUCCGGGAAACCGGGGCUAAUGCAGGAUAACAUGUUGAACCGCAUGGUUCUACAGUGAAAGGCGGCUUUGCUGUCACUUAUAGAUGGACCCGCGCCGUAUUAGCUAGUUGGUGGGGUAACGGCUCACCAAGGCAACGAUGCGUAGCCGACCAGGGAGGGUGAUCGGCCAACACGGAACUGGAGCACGGUUCAGACUCCUAAGGGAGGCAGCAGUAGGGAAUCUUCCGCAAUUGGGGAAAGCCUUGCGGCAGAACGGCGCGGGAGGGAUAGAGGUCCUCGGAUCUGAAAACUCUGUUAUGAGGGAAGAACAAAUGCGUAAGUAACUGUGCGCUGCUUGAAGGUUACUAAUCAGAAAGGCACGGCUAAAUACGUU
RNAcentral lists this ribosomal RNA (497 nucleotides) under uncultured bacterium. RNAcentral's name for it is "partial 16S ribosomal RNA". It matches the Rfam family "Bacterial small subunit ribosomal RNA", at positions 28 to 507 of the family's 1533-position model. The record is from RNAcentral.